GACGAACGCUGGCGGCGUGCUUAACACAUGCAAGUCGAACGGAAAGGCCCUGCUUUUGUGGGGUGCUCGAGUGGCGAACGGGUGAGUAACACGUGAGUAACCUGCCCUUGACUUUGGGAUAACUUCAGGAAACUGGGGCUAAUACCGGAUAGGAGCUCCUGCUGCAUGGGGGGGGUUGGAAAGUUUCGGCGGUUGGGGAUGGACUCGCGGCUUAUCAGCUUGUUGGUGGGGUAGUGGCUUACCAAGGCUUUGACGGGUAGCCGGCCUGAGAGGGUGACCGGCCACAUUGGGCCUGAGAUACGGCCCAGACUCCUACGGGAGGCAGCAGUGGGGAAUAUUGCACAAUGGGCGGAAGCCUGAUGCAGCAACGCCGCGUGCGGGAUGACGGCCUUCUGGUUGUAAACCGCUUUCGCCUGUGACGAAGCGUGAGUGACGGUAAUGGGUAAAGAAGCACCGGCUAACUACGUG
Molecule: ribosomal RNA, 468 nt
Filed under: uncultured bacterium
Lineage: Bacteria
Description: partial 16S ribosomal RNA
Rfam family: Bacterial small subunit ribosomal RNA
Source: RNAcentral